AACGAACGCUGGCGGCAUGCCUAACACAUGCAAGUCGAACGAGACCUUCGGGUCUAGUGGCGCACGGGUGCGUAACGCGUGGGAAUCUGCCCUCUGCUACGGAAUAACUCGAGGAAACUCGUGCUAAUACCGUAUGAUGUCGCAAGACCAAAGAUUUAUCGGCAGGGGAUGAGCCCGCGUAGGAUUAGCUAGUUGGUGAGGUAAAGGCUCACCAAGGCGACGAUCCUAGCUGGUCUGAGAGGAUGAUCAGCCACACUGGGACUGAGACACGGCCCAGACUCCUACGGGAGGCAGCAGUGGGGAAUAUUGGACAAUGGGCGAAAGCCUGAUCCAGCAAUGCCGCGUGAGUGAUGAAGGCCUUAGGGUUGUAAAGCUCUUUUACCCGGGAAGAUAAUGACUGUACCGGGAGAAUAAGCUCCGGCUAACUCCGUGCCAGCAGCCG
RNAcentral lists this ribosomal RNA (442 nucleotides) under uncultured bacterium. RNAcentral describes it as "bacterial SSU rRNA". It matches the Rfam family "Bacterial small subunit ribosomal RNA", at positions 29 to 517 of the family's 1533-position model. The record is from RNAcentral.